RNAcentral lists this transfer RNA (83 nucleotides) under Echinostoma caproni. It matches the Rfam family "tRNA". From Rfam's summary of the family: Transfer RNA (tRNA) molecules are approximately 80 nucleotides in length. Their secondary structure includes four short double-helical elements and three loops (D, anti-codon, and T loops). Lineage: Eukaryota; Metazoa; Platyhelminthes; Trematoda; Plagiorchiida; Echinostomatidae. The record is from Rfam by way of RNAcentral.
GCCCUCGUAGCUCAACUGGUAGAGCUUGCACUGUACAAAAGUGUAGGCAGCGUCCAUGCGUGAGUUCGAAUCCCACCGGGGCG